UACGUAGGGUGCGAGCGUUAAUCGGAAUUACUGGGCGUAAAGCGUGCGCAGGCGGUUUUGCAAGACAGAUGUGAAAUCCCCGUGCUUAACCUGGGAACUGCAUUUGUGACUGCAAGGCUAGAGUACGGCAGAGGGGGGUAGAAGUCCACGUGUAGCAGUGAAAUGCGUAGAUAUGUGGAGGAAGACCGAUGGCGAAGGCAGCCCCCUGGGAUAACACUGACGCUCAUGUACGAGAGCGUGGGUAGCAAACAGG
RNAcentral lists this ribosomal RNA (253 nucleotides) under uncultured bacterium. RNAcentral describes it as "partial 16S ribosomal RNA". It matches the Rfam family "Bacterial small subunit ribosomal RNA", at positions 524 to 776 of the family's 1533-position model. The record is from RNAcentral.